This 372-nucleotide unclassified non-coding RNA is filed under the name Hevea brasiliensis (rubber tree). Lineage: Eukaryota; Viridiplantae; Streptophyta; Magnoliopsida; Malpighiales; Euphorbiaceae. The record is from RNAcentral.
CUAAAAAAUAGUCUUGGUCCAUGAAUGAAGAAUACACGUCUCAAUAAGCAUUUCACAUUGAGAUCAUAUUACAUACUUUAUCAAUGCAUCAUUGCAAUUCACAGGGAAAUUUAUUUUUCUGUAGCCAGCAUCAUACCAUCGACUGGAUAGCAGGUAGCACUUCGUUUAAUCCACACAAUUUUCUGUUAGUAAAUAAUGUUGCUUUUCCUUGGUAACAUCAGCUGCAACUUCCAGCUCUUGCAAACUAGACUGGGCAACAAGCCUCUCAACUGGCACUUUGGUCACAUCACGACGUAUUCCAAUAUCAGAAACAAACCGGUAGAUACAAUACAUACCGCAACCCGCAGCUGUCAGAAAGCUAAAGUUGGCAAU